This is a non-coding RNA of Salmo salar (Atlantic salmon), 332 nucleotides long. The record is from RefSeq and is a predicted model, not a curated record. NCBI's taxonomy places the organism in Eukaryota, Metazoa, Chordata, Actinopteri, Salmoniformes, Salmonidae.
CGGGGAGAGAGAGUCUUGACUAAAACAGGUGGUCUAUAACACUAGGAAAUACACAUUACCCUCGUUAUCAACACACCUGCUGCUUCUAAUGUGGAGAUAGAUAUUUAAGGAUAUCUGUUCAUUGUUCUCUGGAAUACUUUGUUGGGGUGUCAUGAAACUGAAUCCACAUCAAGCUCCGAUAUAUGGUAAGGUUGUGAUAACAGUACAGCUAUGUGACGGAGAGCAGACUCAGGAUGAGGAGGGUGAGGAGUACUUCCUGUUGUUCUCUGGGUCCUCCCAGAGUCACCUGACCAGUGCAUUGUGGAGCGGCCAUGACACCCUGCACACCCUCU